UGCUGAAAGUGGAGGUGGGGAAGGAGGAAGGGGAAGACCCCGGCAAGGUGUAAAUGACAAAGAGGAUGUGGUCACUGAAUUUCAGGGGCAGUUUUCACCAAGAAGAGCACGACAGAGGAGUGCAGGUGAUCCUUCCUGUGGAAACAAGACCCCACAAAGUGUUGAUGACAACAACAGUGAUUUCAUGCUGCUGGAGGUUGUAUGCCUGGCAUAAUGUGAAAGAGGAAUCACAGAGCUGGAGAACUACAGAAACUUCUGGAAUUGUAUCAAAGGAAGUAUGCUAAAUAGGGGCUGUGACGAGGACACAGAGAAGACUGCUAGAUUAGGCAAAACUCAGCACACGUGGCUUCUUCCUCACACCCCCACAGAAAAGAAGGCCCGGUGCCUUUCUAGGAAAUAAAAUUUUCGGAAAUGUUCUUUUGUCAUAUAUUACUAAAUGGUGCCAAUAGCUACACAUAAUUUGAAGAAAGGUUAUAAGUAACCACUCAUCUACCUACUACCUACCUAAAAAUAAAUUCAUAGGAAUUAUCCCUUCUUCCUACCAAUUCUCUGUCUCCUUCCCUCCCUUCCUUCCUCUUUAGAAUGUAUUGACUUCACACAUGAAUGCAUAAACACACAUCCUACUCACCACUCUCCACUUUCACCCUGAUCCACUAAGCAGAUCAUUCUAUUUGAGUUUUAUGGUAAAAAAAAAAAAAAAAAAAAAAAGUAAUAGUCAGUAUAGCGCAGGACUUACGAGGUAAGGCCUUUGAAUCAGAGAGACCUCUUUUGAACCUCAAGACAUUUUAAAAUAAUGUGAUCUUGGACAAAUUGCUUGAGCUAUUCAGGACUCAGUUCCUCCUCAAUACAAUGAGCAUAAAUAACAACACCUCUGUUGUUGUAAGAUAUGUUCCAUUUAGUCACAUAAUGUACUUAGUGUAAUAUCUGACACACAAUAAGUGCUUAGUAAAUAUUAACUAUUUAUUUUCUAUGUAUUCUGCUUUUAAUAGUGUAAUAGUAGUAAUUAAUAAUUUCCUAGCAGGCAAAGAAAUUUAAAUUAUGUAAGUAGUCAUUUAUUAUUCUAAAAUUCUCUCUCCUCAGUAUUUUCCCUAUCCGUCCACAAAGUCAUAGAGCCUCAGAGAUGGAAAUAAACAGACGAAACAAACUCUAUGUCUAACAGGCAUCCCUAGAAGCAUCCAGGAAAAGCCUGAAUUACAAAGGGGAACCAGGCCUAGCAGAGAUGGGGCUUGUUUCAUCCACAUUUUUCUAACUCUAAGGUUUCAGCCCUCUACUUUUAGUUGUAUUCUGGCAUAAAAGCAUUAUUGAACACCUACCAUGUAUAAGGUCUUAUUAUGGGUUUAAUAUAUCCUCCCAAAAUUCAUAUGUUAAAGUCCUAACUCCUAGUAUGACAGCAUGUGACCUUAUUUGGAAACAGGGUCAUUGCAUACAUAAUUAGUUAAGAUGAGGUCAUUACUGUCUGGGAUCAAGUGAUAUCAAUCUUCAAUUAUCUGAAGGACUGGGAGGUGUUAUUCUAUAUUAAUCUAGACAGAAGAACUAAGACCAGAGGUAACCCAGUAUGACUAGUGUUCUUAUAAAGAGGGGAAAUUUAGACACAGACAUGCACACUAGGGGAACACCACAUGAAGAUGAAGGCAAAGAUCAGAAUGGUGUUUCCACAGGCCAAGAAAAGACAAAUUUCCAGCAAACUACAAGAAGCUGAGAGAGAACCAUGGAACAGAUUUUUCCCUCACAAUAUUUGGGAGAAACUAACCCUGUGAACACCUUGAGCUUGGACUUCCAGCCUGCAGGAUUGUGCAAUAAUACUUUUCUGUUGCUUAAGCUAUUUUAGGUUAUGGUACUUUGUUAUGGCAGUCCUAGCAAAUAACACAGGUCAAAUGUAUUCCAUGUCAAAAUUACUGCAUGUAAAAUAAAUGUGCUGAAGUUACUUUUUCUGCCUCA
Macaca fascicularis (crab-eating macaque) is the source of this 1938-nucleotide long non-coding RNA. The record is from Ensembl. NCBI's taxonomy places the organism in Eukaryota, Metazoa, Chordata, Mammalia, Primates, Cercopithecidae.